RNAcentral lists this ribosomal RNA (557 nucleotides) under Microbacterium paraoxydans. RNAcentral's name for it is "bacterial SSU rRNA". It matches the Rfam family "Bacterial small subunit ribosomal RNA", at positions 82 to 652 of the family's 1533-position model. The record is from RNAcentral. Lineage: Bacteria; Bacillati; Actinomycetota; Actinomycetes; Micrococcales; Microbacteriaceae.
CUCUGUGGGAUCAGUGGCGAACGGGUGAGUAACACGUGAGCAACCUGCCCCUGACUCUGGGAUAAGCGCUGGAAACGGCGUCUAAUACUGGAUAUGUGACGUGACCGCAUGGUCUGCGUUUGGAAAGAUUUUUCGGUUGGGGAUGGGCUCGCGGCCUAUCAGCUUGUUGGUGAGGUAAUGGCUCACCAAGGCGUCGACGGGUAGCCGGCCUGAGAGGGUGACCGGCCACACUGGGACUGAGACACGGCCCAGACUCCUACGGGAGGCAGCAGUGGGGAAUAUUGCACAAUGGGCGAAAGCCUGAUGCAGCAACGCCGCGUGAGGGAUGACGGCCUUCGGGUUGUAAACCUCUUUUAGCAGGGAAGAAGCGAAAGUGACGGUACCUGCAGAAAAAGCGCCGGCUAACUACGUGCCAGCAGCCGCGGUAAUACGUAGGGCGCAAGCGUUAUCCGGAAUUAUUGGGCGUAAAGAGCUCGUAGGCGGUUUGUCGCGUCUGCUGUGAAAUCCCGAGGCUCAACCUCGGGCCUGCAGUGGGUACGGGCAGACUAGAGUGCGGU